GACGAACGCUGGCGGCGUGCCUAAUACAUGCAAGUAGAACGCACAGUUUAUACCGUAGCUUGCUACACCAUAGACUGUGAGUUGCGAACGGGUGAGUAACGCGUAGGUAACCUGCCUGGUAGCGGGGGAUAACUAUUGGAAACGAUAGCUAAUACCGCAUAAUAUUAAUUAUUGCAUGAUAAUUAAUUGAAAGGUGCAAUUGCACCACUACCAGAUGGACCUGCGUUGUAUUAGCUAGUAGGUGAGGUAACGGCUCACCUAGGCGACGAUACAUAGCCGACCUGAGAGGGUGAUCGGCCACACUGGGACUGAGACACGGCCCAGACGCCUACGGGAGGCAGCAGUAGGGAAUCUUCGGCAAUGGACGAAAGUCUGACCGAGCAACGCCGCGUGAGUGAAGAAGGGUUUCGGAUCGUAAAGCUCUGUUGUAAGAGAAGAACGGGUGUGAGAGUGGAAAGUUCACACUGUGACGGUAUCUUACCAGAAAGGGACGGCUAACUACGUG
This 505-nucleotide ribosomal RNA is filed under the name uncultured bacterium. Its description in RNAcentral is "partial 16S ribosomal RNA". It matches the Rfam family "Bacterial small subunit ribosomal RNA", at positions 28 to 507 of the family's 1533-position model. The record is from RNAcentral.